ACCCUGAAACCAUACGCCUACAAGCGGUCGGAGCCCCUACGUGGGGUGACGGCGUGCCUUUUGCAUAAUGAACCUACGAGUUACUUUUGCCAGCCAGGUUAAUCGAUUCAGUCGAGGAGCCGAAGCGAAAGCGAGUCUUAAUAGGGCGGUAUAAGUUGGCAGGAGUAGACGCGAAACCAAGUGAUCUACCCAUGAGCAGGUUGAAGGUUAGGUAACACUAACUGGAGGACCGCACCGGUAAACGUUGAAAAGUUUUCGGAUGACUUGUGGGUAGGGGUGAAAGGCUAAUCAAACUUGGAGAUAGCUCGUACUCCCCGAAAUGCAUUUAGGUGCAGCCUUCUGACUAUAUUUAAGAGGUAGAGCGACUGAUAAGAUGCGAGGGCUUCACCGCCUAUCAAGUCUUGAUAAACUCCGAAUGCUUAAAUAAGAAUCAGAGGAGUGAGGGCAUGGGUGCUAAGGUCCAUGUCCGAGAGGGAAAUAACCCAGACCACCAGCUAAGGUCCCGAAAUAACGGCUAAGUUGAAUUAACGAAGUAGAACUGCAGAGACAGCUAGGAUGUUGGCUUGGAAGCAGCCAUUCAUUUAAAGAGUGCGUAACAGCUCACUAGUCGAGGAGUUCUGCGUGGAUAAUAAUCGGGCAUAAGCCGUUUACCGAAGCUGUGGAAUCGGCAACGAUUGGUAGGGGAGCAUUCCAUGAGCCGCAGAAGGUUUUCCUUGAGGAAUGCUGGAGGUAAUGGAAAAGCAAAUGUAGGUAUAAGUAACGAUAAAGAGGGCGAGAACCCCUCUCGCCGAAAGACCAAGGGUUCCUGAUCAACGCUAAUCGGAUCAGGGUAAGUCGGGCCCUAAGGCCAAGCCGAACGGCGCAGCCGAUGGCAGAAACGGUUAAUAUUCCGUUACUAUGAUACGGAGUGACGAGGAGACGGAGAAGUGACACUCUCGCCUGCUGACGGAAUAGCAGGUUGAACGGAGUAGAUAAUGACAUGGUAGGCAAAUCCGCCGUGGCAGUCGAACCGGAUAGUACUGGGCGCCCCCGGGCAACCAGAUAGUAGAGGUAAUCAGGCUCCCGAGAAAAUCCCCUAAACAUAUGCGUAUCAUACCCGUACCCGAAACGGACACACGUGGUUGAGUAGAAAAUACUAAGGCGCUCGAGCGACUCACGGUUAAGGAACUAGGCAAAUUGACCCUGUAACUUCGGGACAAAGGGUCCCUCCCUGGUGGGAGGGCGCAGAGAAUAGGUCCAGGCAACUGUUUAACAAAAACACAGGGCUGUGCGAAAUUGCAAGAUGAAGUAUACAGCCUGACACCUGCCCGGUGCUGGAAGGUUAAGAGGAGAUGUCAUCGCAAGAGAAGCGUUGAAUUGAAGCCCCAGUAAACGGCGGCCGUAACUAUAACGGUCCUAAGGUAGCGAAAUUCCUUGUCGGGUAAGUUCCGACCUGCACGAAUGGUGUAAUGAUCUGGACACUGUCUCAACCGUGAACUCGGUGAAAUUGUAGUAUCGGUGAAGAUGCCGAUUACCCGCAACGGGACGGAAAGACCCCGUGAACCUUUACUGCAACUUAACAUUGAAUUUGGGUAACUGAUGUGUAGGAUAGUCCGGAGACAGAGAAGUGGAUACGCCAGUAUUCAUGGAGUCGUCCUUGAAAUACGGACCUUUGGUUAUUUGAGUUCUAACCCGUAUGAUAUGGGGACACUGUUUGGUGGGUAGUUUGACUGGGGUGGUCGCCUCCAAAAGCGUAACGGAGGCUUCUAAAGGUACCCUCAGGCCGAUUGGUAACCGGCCGGAGAGUGUAAUGGCAGAAGGGUGCUUGACUGAGAGACCGACAAGUCGAUCAGGUAGGAAACUAGAGCAUAGUGAUCCGGUGGUUCCGCAUGGAAGGGCCAUCGCUCAAAGGAUAAAAGGUACUCCGGGGAUAACAGGCUGAUCGCUCCCAAGAGCUCAUAUCGACGGAGCGGUUUGGCACCUCGAUGUCGGCUCGUCACAUCCUGGGGCUGGAGAAGGUCCCAAGGGUUGGGCUGUUCGCCCAUUAAAGUGGCACGCGAGCUGGGUUCAGAACGUCGUGAGACAGUUCGGUCCCUAUCUGUUGUGGGCGCAGGAAAUUUGAGGAGAACUG
This 2110-nucleotide ribosomal RNA is filed under the name Tannerella sp. 6_1_58FAA_CT1. Its description in RNAcentral is "bacterial LSU rRNA". It matches the Rfam family "Bacterial large subunit ribosomal RNA", at positions 547 to 2674 of the family's 2925-position model. Lineage: Bacteria; Pseudomonadati; Bacteroidota; Bacteroidia; Bacteroidales; Tannerellaceae. The record is from RNAcentral.